UACAGAGGGUGCAAGCGUUAAUCGGAAUUACUGGGCGUAAAGCGCACGCAGGCGGUUGGUUAAGUCAGAUGUGAAAGCCCCGGGCUCAACCUGGGAAUUGCAUUUCAAACUGGCCAACUAGAGUACGUGAGAGGGGGGUAGAAUUCCAAGUGUAGCGGUGAAAUGCGUAGAGAUUUGGAGGAAUACCAGUGGCGAAGGCGGCCCCCUGGCACGAUACUGACGCUCAGGUGCGAAAGCGUGGGGAGCAAACAGG
This 253-nucleotide ribosomal RNA is filed under the name uncultured bacterium. RNAcentral's name for it is "partial 16S ribosomal RNA". It matches the Rfam family "Bacterial small subunit ribosomal RNA", at positions 524 to 776 of the family's 1533-position model. The record is from RNAcentral.